This 23-nucleotide non-coding RNA is filed under the name Arabidopsis thaliana (thale cress). The record is from RNAcentral. Lineage: Eukaryota; Viridiplantae; Streptophyta; Magnoliopsida; Brassicales; Brassicaceae.
AAUGAUAGUAGACGGGCCAAUAA